This 508-nucleotide ribosomal RNA is filed under the name uncultured bacterium. Its description in RNAcentral is "partial 16S ribosomal RNA". It matches the Rfam family "Bacterial small subunit ribosomal RNA", at positions 28 to 507 of the family's 1533-position model. The record is from RNAcentral.
GACGAACGCUGGCGGCGUGCCUAAUACAUGCAAGUCGAACGCUUCUUUCCUCCCGAGUGCUUGCACUCCAUUGGAAAGAGGAGUGGCGGACGGGUGAGUAACACGUGGGUAACCUACCCAUCAGAGGGGGAUGACACUUGGAAACAGGUGCUAAUACCGCAUAACAGUUUAUGCCGCAUGGCAUAAGAGUGAAAGGCGCUUUCGGGUGUCGCUGAUGGAUGGACCCGCGGUGCAUUAGCUAGUUGGUGAGGUAACGGCUCACCAAGGCCACGAGGCAUAGCCGACCUGAGUGGGUGAUCGGCCACCCUGGCACUUGGACACCGCCCAUACUCCUACGGGAGGCAGCAGUAGGGAAUCUUCGGCAAUGGACGAAAGUCUUACCGAGUAACGCCGCGUGAGUGAAGAAGGUCUUCGGAUCGUAAAACUCUGUUGUUAGAGAAGAACAAGGACGUUAGUAACUGAACGUCCCCUGACGGUAUCUAACCAGAAAGCCACGGCUAACUACGUG